GAUGAACGCUGGCGGCGUGCCUAAUACAUGCAAGUCGAGCGAACGGACGAGAAGCUUGCUUCUCUGAUGUUAGCGGCGGACGGGUGAGUAACACGUGGAUAACCUACCUAUAGGACUGGGAUAACUUCGGGAAACCGGAGCUAAUACCGGAUGAUAUUUUGAACCGCAUGGUUCAAUAGUGAAAGACGGUCUUGCUGUCACUUAUAGAUGGAUCCGCGCUGCAUUAGCUAGUUGGUAAGGUAACGGCUUACCAAGGCAACGAUGCAUAGCCGACCUGAGAGGGUGAUCGGCCACACUGGAACUGAGACACGGUCCAGACUCCUACGGGAGGCAGCAGUAGGGAAUCUUCCGCAAUGGGCGAAAGCCUGACGGAGCAACGCCGCGUGAGUGAUGAAGGUCUUCGGAUCGUAAAACUCUGUUAUUAGGGAAGAACAUAUGUGUAAGUAACUAUGCACAUCUUGACGGUACCUAAUCAGAAAGCCACGGCUAACUACGUG
RNAcentral lists this ribosomal RNA (497 nucleotides) under uncultured bacterium. RNAcentral describes it as "partial 16S ribosomal RNA". It matches the Rfam family "Bacterial small subunit ribosomal RNA", at positions 28 to 507 of the family's 1533-position model. The record is from RNAcentral.